CAGUCGCCGCGGGAACACAGAGGGUGCGAGCGUUAAUCGGAUUUACUGGGCGUAAAGCGUGCGUAGGCGGCUUCUUAAGUCGGAUGUGAAAUCCCUGAGCUUAACUUAGGAAUUGCAUUCGAUACUGGGAAGCUAGAGUAUGGGAGAGGAUGGUAGAAUUCCAGGUGUAGCGGUGAAAUGCGUAGAGAUCUGGAGGAAUACCGAUGGCUGCCUUCGCCAUCUGGCCUAAUACUGACGCUGAGGUACGAAAGCAUGGGGAGCAAACAGGAUUAGAUACCCCCGUAGUCCCUGUCUCUUAUAC
RNAcentral lists this ribosomal RNA (301 nucleotides) under uncultured bacterium. RNAcentral's name for it is "partial 16S ribosomal RNA". It matches the Rfam family "Bacterial small subunit ribosomal RNA", at positions 509 to 807 of the family's 1533-position model. The record is from RNAcentral.